GCGACGCAGAAGACGGGUGAUUUCUGCAUUUCCAUCUGAGUCUCAACAGCUUGGGAAGCCAAGGCUGAACCCUUAAAGGAGCUGCACUGGGAAGGGAAGAUCUGGUGGAAAACUCAUGCAAGAUUCAGGCUUUGCAGGCAAGGAGCUAAAUCUGACAUGACAGAUAACAGAGUUUUCUGGACUUCUGGAGAAUAAGAUUAUUAUUCUCAAGGAGAGAUGAUCACCUCAGGAAAAUCUGGACUAUUGAAAAAAAAAGGUAGUAAAUACAACACAAUUUUUCCUGUUAAACAUUUUGCAUAUAAACGAAAUACAGUGUGGGCUUUAGAAAUAUUUUGAUAUGAAAGUAGCACUUCAAGAGAUUUGUGGUUUUGCAUCUUCCUCUAGAGCUCUGUACAAGAAAAAUACUCUAUCCCUGCAACUUCACAAAAAUGAUUAGGUAUUGCUUUUGGAAGUACUUAUUAUCAAUAAGACGCCUCCCCACCUUUGGGGACUUCUUGCAGGUUGUUGGAAAAAAGCUAAAAAGAGCACCUCAAAAUAUCCUCAGUGGCUUUUUUGAAGAACUUUAGAAGCCUUGGAGCCUGCUCAUGGAACAGUUUUGAGGUGGAGGCAGGCAGGAAAACACUGAGUUUGAGUAACAAAGAAGCGAGAGAAUAUUAACCUUUGACAGCUCCAUAACUACUCUCACCCCACUCUCGAAAAACAAAACAAAACACAUACAGGAAUAUAACAAGCAAUGUGAAGUCAGUGGGGAGAGGAGAGGGAAGCAGACAGCUGGAAAGUUACUGCAGCAAGUAGAAAGAGAAACCCAAAUUGUGAACAUUAAAAACGAUUCGUAAAUCUCUCCUCCCUGCCUUCUGAAUAAAACCAUACCCUGCCUGGAGACACUAGCCUCCUCUAAGACUUCAGUAAUUCGUCCUGAUGCACGCAGUACUAGUCCAAUCCAUUUUCUAGUUUGCAGAGGAAAAUCCGGUCCGGCGUUUAUUUUUAGCAGCGCU
This 995-nucleotide long non-coding RNA is filed under the name Homo sapiens (human). Its description in RNAcentral is "HSALNT0317122". Lineage: Eukaryota; Metazoa; Chordata; Mammalia; Primates; Hominidae. The record is from RNAcentral.